RNAcentral lists this ribosomal RNA (59 nucleotides) under fungal sp. mh384.5. Its description in RNAcentral is "partial 28S ribosomal RNA". It matches the Rfam family "Eukaryotic large subunit ribosomal RNA", at positions 1 to 58 of the family's 3401-position model. The record is from RNAcentral. RNAcentral also lists the same sequence under 2 other names. Lineage: Eukaryota; Fungi.
UUGACCUCGGAUUAGGUAGGAAUACCCGCUGAACUUAAGCAUAUCAAUAAGCGGAGGAA